This 498-nucleotide ribosomal RNA is filed under the name uncultured bacterium. Its description in RNAcentral is "partial 16S ribosomal RNA". It matches the Rfam family "Bacterial small subunit ribosomal RNA", at positions 899 to 1397 of the family's 1533-position model. The record is from RNAcentral.
ACUCAAAUGAAUAGACGGGGACCCGCACAAGCGGUGGAGCAUGUGGUUUAAUUCGACGCAACGCGAAGAACCUUACCUGGACUAGAAUGUGAGGGAAUGUUGGUUAACGCCAUCAGUCCGGGAAACCGGACCCAAAACAAGGUGCUGCAUGGCUGUCGUCAGCUCGUGUCGUGAGAUGUUGGGUUAAGUCCCGCAACGAGCGCAACCCUUAACUUCAGUUGCCAUCAUUAAGUUGGGAACUCUGGAGUGACUGCCGUUGAUAAAACGGAGGAAGGUGGGGAUGAUGUCAAGUCAUCAUGGCCUUUAUGUUCAGGGCUACACACGUGCUACAAUGGCCGGUACAAAACGUCGCGAUCUCGUAAGAGGGAGCUAAUCGCAAAAACCGGUCUCAGUUCGGAUUGGAGUCUGCAACUCGACUCCAUGAAGUUGGAAUCGCUAGUAAUCGCGCAUCAGAACGGCGCGGUGAAUACGUUCCCGGGUCUUGCACACACCGCCCGU